GUUCCCUCCUCCUUUUCCUCCCUUCAGCCCGAGUGAUGGCCGCUAUUCUUGGGCCUAAAGCGUCCGUAGCUGGCCGAACAAGUCCGUCGGGAAAUCCACGUGCUUAACACGUGGGCGACCGGCGGAAACUGUUCGGCUUGGGGCCGGAGGACCCGAGGGGUACGUCCGGGGUAGGAGUGAAAUCCUGUAAUCCUGGACGGACCGCCGGUGGCGAAAGCGCCUCGGGAAGACGGACCCGACAGUGAGGGACGAAAGCUGGGAUCUCGAACCGGAUUAGAUACCCGUGUAGUCC
Molecule: ribosomal RNA, 292 nt
Filed under: uncultured bacterium
Lineage: Bacteria
Description: partial 16S ribosomal RNA
Rfam family: Archaeal small subunit ribosomal RNA
Source: RNAcentral